CACCAGGCCCUUUUAAGAGCCACCAUAUAGAACAAUAAAAUAGUAU
Non-coding RNA from Operophtera brumata (winter moth), 46 nucleotides. The record is from Rfam. NCBI's taxonomy places the organism in Eukaryota, Metazoa, Arthropoda, Insecta, Lepidoptera, Geometridae.